Molecule: ribosomal RNA, 499 nt
Filed under: uncultured bacterium
Lineage: Bacteria
Description: SSU rRNA
Rfam family: Bacterial small subunit ribosomal RNA
Source: RNAcentral
AGGAUAAACGCUGGCGGCGUGCCUAACACAUGCAAGUCGAACGCUCUUUUCCUUCGCAAGAGGGGGGAGGGAGUGGCGGACGGGUGAGGAACACAUGGGUGACCUACCUUUCAGUGAGGAAUACCGGCGAGAAAUCGCCGACAAGACCGCAUGAGCUUCUCUCGGUGAGCGAGGGAAGGAAAGCUCUUUUUCGCGAAAACGGAGAGGGGCGCUGGAAGAUGGGCCUGUGGCCGAUUAGCUAGUUGGUGAGGUAACGGCUCACCAAGGCGACGAUCGGUAGCUGGUCUGAGAGGACGAUCAGCCACACUGGGAUUGAGAACGGCCCAGACUCCUACGGGGGGCAGCAGUGAGGAUUUUCCGCAAUGGGCGCAAGCCUGACGGAGCAACGCCGCGUGCAGGAAGACGGUUUUCGGAUCGUAAACUGCUUUUCUCGGGGUACGAGAACGGACGGUACCCGAGGAAUCGAGCCCCGGCUAACGUACGCGCCAGCAGCCGCGGU